Molecule: ribosomal RNA, 301 nt
Filed under: uncultured bacterium
Lineage: Bacteria
Description: partial 16S ribosomal RNA
Rfam family: Bacterial small subunit ribosomal RNA
Source: RNAcentral
CAGUGCCGCGGUAAUACGUAGGGUGCAAGCGUUAAUCGGAAUUACUGGGCGUAAAGCGUGCGCAGGCGGUUAUAUAAGACAGAUGUGAAAUCCCCGGGCUCAACCUGGGAACUGCAUUUGUGACUGUAUAGCUAGAGUACGGCAGAGGGGGAUGGAAUUCCGCGUGUAGCAGUGAAAUGCGUAGAUAUGCGGAGGAACACCGAUGGCGAAGGCAAUCCCCUGGGCCUGUACUGACGCUCAUGCACGAAAGCGAGGGGAGCAAACAGGAUUAGAGACCCGCGUAGUCCCUGUCUCUUAUACA